CAAUUCUACGUAAAUAUCAAAAAGACGUGGCCACGCGAUGUCUUCGAUUCAGCUAAUUUUUUUCUUACUGAAACUUCAAUGAAUGAAAAGAUUGACUAUAUGAAAGAAAGCAUGGUAGUUUAUCCGGUUGCCAUGGAAACGGGACUAGAAGGUGUAAAUUAUAGUGGAUAUUGCUAUUUAUCAAUAAUAUCAAAAAAAUAUUUACUAGACAAAGCUGUUUAUAUUCAUAUUUUUUUAUAUCCUUCAUGACAAUCAAAACUAUGUAAAAAAUAGCCAAGGUCACAAAAAUUUUACAAUUUCUAAUUUUCUGAUGCCCAAAAAGUGAAUAAUUAGUCCUCGUUACCUCCCUUGUUAGACUUAAUAUUUAAAGACUUUGACAAGUGAUGUAAAAAUUCUAGUAGGGAGAUUUAGAUUCAAGAAAUGUUAUUUUGCAAAUAUCAUUUAAAACAUUUAUGGGUAAAUGAAAAAUAAACAUUUUAUUACACUAUAAAGUUGGUCUAAAUCUGCUUUUUCUCUAUCCGAGUUAUUUCCCUUGUUGGAGCUCUUCGGCAUUGAAGAAUACAAAAUGUGUAAAUUGUAAACAAGAUGGCAGACAAUGAAAUCUGCAGUUUUUCUUCUUGUUUUGAAACAUCUUGUUCAGGAAAAUUCUACCUCAAGAGACUCAGAAUUUGAUGAAAAACAGUUGACAAAGUUGGGAUAAUCUUUAAGAAAAGCCAAAGGGUUGAUCUGGACAUGAUGAGUAUUACACGUAUAGCUACUCGUAGAAAAGAAAAUAUGAGGAAAUCAGGGUGGUAUGGGGGCGAAGGCCGAGAGGAUUUUAGCUGUUCCCUUCAAGAUGUCUUUGAAAUAGAGAUAGAGAGAUAAAUGUAGUGGUGUGGUAGUCCCCGACCGAUCCCGAUUACAAUGUCCCUUGCAAGAUUUUCCUAAUGAAGAUUCUCAGGAUUACAGAUCCUCUAGCAAGGAGACCAAACAGAUAGAAAUGACCAGAGCAGAGGACAUACAACCCCCCCCCCCCAAAAAAAAAAAAAAAAAAUUCACAGUGGACUGGAAGUAAAAUUUACAUAAAAAAUACAAAGUAGGAAAAAUAACAGAAAGAAAAGAGGAUCCAGUAAAAGUUGUCACUGGUGCAAGAUGGACAUAGAGAGGGUUUUCUAAUGAUCAUUACUAAAAUCCACAGCAAAUUAAUAUUGCAAGGCUGAGCUACUUUUCAAACUUACACAAAAGGACAUAAAGAAAUGUGAAUUCAAGGAAACCAAGCUGACAUCAAAUGAGAGAAUAUGAAGGAACAAAUUUUAGCAAAUUUUUUUUUUAAGCAGGGCAUCUGUUUUCCUUAGAGAAUAU
This is a long non-coding RNA of Saccostrea cuccullata (small rock oyster), 1341 nucleotides long. RefSeq lists it as uncharacterized. The transcript is spliced from 3 exons. Lineage: Eukaryota; Metazoa; Mollusca; Bivalvia; Ostreida; Ostreidae. The record is from RefSeq and is a predicted model, not a curated record.